Molecule: ribosomal RNA, 648 nt
Filed under: uncultured Vibrionaceae bacterium
Lineage: Bacteria; Pseudomonadati; Pseudomonadota; Gammaproteobacteria; Vibrionales; Vibrionaceae
Description: bacterial SSU rRNA
Rfam family: Bacterial small subunit ribosomal RNA
Source: RNAcentral
UAGAGUUUGAUCAUGGCUCAGGACGAACGCUGGCGGCGGGCCUAACACAUGCAAGUCGAACGCACUCGACCUUCGGGUCACAUGAGUGAGUGGCGAACGGGUGAGUAACACGUGAGAAACCUGCCCCGAAGACUGGAAUAACCCGAGGAAACUCGGGCUAAUACCGGAUGCCCCCACCGGAUCGCAUGGUCUGGUGAGGAAAUGCUCCGGCGCUUCGGGAGGGUCUCGCGGCCUAUCAGCUAGUUGGUGAGGUAACGGCUCACCAAGGUAUCGACGGGUAGCUGGUCUGAGAGGACGAUCAGCCACACUGGGACUGAGACACGGCCCAGACUCCUACGGGAGGCAGCAGUGGGGAAUCUUGCGCAAUGGGCGAAAGCCUGACGCAGCCACGCCGCGUGAGGGAUGAAGGCUCUAGGGUUGUAAACCUCUUUCAGCAGGGACGAAAAUGACGGUACCUGCAGAAGAAGCCCCGGCCAACUACGUGCCAGCAGCCGCGGUAACACGUAGGGGGCGAGCGUUGCCCGGAUUUAUUGGGCGUAAAGAGCUCGUAGGCGGUUCAGUAAGUCGGGUGUGAAAACUUGAGGCUCAACCUCAAGAGGCCACUCGAUACUGCUGUGACUAGAGUCCUGUAGAGGGGGGUAGAAUUUC